UAACACAUGCAAGUCGAACGGAAACGAAACUAGCUUGCUAGUAGGCGUCGAGUGGCGGACGGGUGAGUAACGCGUAGGAAUCUGCCUGAUAGUGGGGGAUAGCCCGAAGAAAUUCGGAUUAAUACCGCAUAAUCUAUUCGUAGUAAAGUGGGGGACUUUCGAGCCUCACGCUAUCAGAUGAGCCUGCGUAGGAUUAGCUUGUUGGUAGGGUAAAAGCCUACCAAGGCAACGAUCUUUAGCUGGUCUGAGAGGAUGAUCAGCCACAUCGGGACUGAGACACGGCCCGAACUCCUACGGGAGGCAGCAGUGGGGAAUAUUGGACAAUGGGGGCAACCCUGAUCCAGCAAUACCGCGUGUGUGAAGAAGGCCCGAGGGUUGUAAAGCACUUUCAAUUGUGAAGAAAAGUUAGCGGUUAAUAACCGUUGACCUUGACGUUAACUAUAGAAGAAGCACCGGCUAACUCCGUGCCAGCAGCCGCGGUAAUACGGAGGGUGCAAGCGUUAAUCGGAAUUACUGGGCGUAAAGCGUGCGUAGGCGGUUUAUUAAGUCAGAUGUGAAAGCCCCGGGCUUAACCUGGGAACUGCAUUUGAAACUGGUCAACUAGAGUAUGGUAGAGGAAAGUGGAAUUUCUGGUGUAGCGGUGAAAUGCGUAGAUAUCAGAAGGAACAUCAAUGGCGAAGGCAGCUUUCUGGACCAAUACUGACGCUGAGGUACGAAAGCGUGGGUAGCAAACAGGAUUAGAUACCCUGGUAGUCCACGCCGUAAACGAUGAUAACUAGCCGUUGGGGGGAUUUACCCCUUAGUGGCGAAGCUAACGCGUUAAGUUAUCCGCCUGGGGAGUACGGCCGCAAGGCUAAAACUCAAAGGAAUUGACGGGGACCCGCACAAGCGGUGGAGCAUGUGGUUUAAUUCGAUGCAACGCGAAGAACCUUACUGGUCUUGACAUCCUGCGAACUUUCUAGAAAUAGAUUGGUGCCUUCGGGAACGCAGUGACAGGUGCUGCAUGGCUGUCGUCAGCUCGUGUCGUGAGAUGUUGGGUUAAGUCCCGUAACGAGCGCAACCCCUAUCCUUAUUUGCCAGCACAUUAUGGUGGGAACUAUAAGGAGACUGCCGGUGAUAAACCGGAGGAAGGCGGGGACGACGUCAGUCAUCAUGGCCCUUACGACCAGGGCUACACACGUGCUACAAUGGGAAGGACAAAGAGCCGCGAAGCCGCGAGGUGUAGCUAAUCUCAUAAAUCUUUUCGUAGUCCGGAUUGGAGUCUGCAACUCGACUCCAUGAAGUCGGAAUCGCUAGUAAUCGUAGAUCAGAAUGCUACGGUGAAUACGUUCCCGGGUCUUGUACACACCGCCCGUCAUACCAUGGGAGUGGGUUGCACCAGAAGUGGCUAGUCUAACUUUGUGAGGACGGUCACCACGGUGUGAUUCAUGACUGGGGUA
Molecule: ribosomal RNA, 1439 nt
Filed under: uncultured bacterium
Lineage: Bacteria
Description: bacterial SSU rRNA
Rfam family: Bacterial small subunit ribosomal RNA
Source: RNAcentral